GACGAACGCUGGCGGCGUGCUUAACACAUGCAAGUCGAAGGGAAAGGCCCUGCUUUUGUGGGGUGCUCGAGUGGCGAACGGGUGAGUAACACGUGAGUAACCUGCUCUUGACUUUGGGAUAACUUCAGGAAACUGGGGUUACUACCGGAUCGGAGCUGCUGCUGCAUGGUGGGGGUUGGAUAGAUUCGGCGGUUGGGGAUGGGCUAGCGGCUUAUCAGCUGGUUGGUUGGGGAGUGGCUUACCAAGGCUUUGACGGGUAGCCGGCCUGAGAGGGUGACCGGCCAAAGUGGGACUGAGAUACGGCACAGACUCCUGAGGGAGGCAGCAGUGGGGAAUAUUGCACAAUGGGCGGAAGCCUGAUGCAGCAACGCCGCGUGAGGGAUGACGGCCUUCGGGUUGUAGACCGCUUUCGCCUGUGACCGAGCGUGAGUGACGGUAAUGGGUAAAGAAGCACCGGCUAACUACGUG
This 468-nucleotide ribosomal RNA is filed under the name uncultured bacterium. RNAcentral's name for it is "partial 16S ribosomal RNA". It matches the Rfam family "Bacterial small subunit ribosomal RNA", at positions 28 to 507 of the family's 1533-position model. The record is from RNAcentral.